UAAUUCGAUGAUACGCGAGGAACCUUACCUGGGCUUAAAUGUAGAUUGCAUGAAUCGGAGACGGUUCUUUCCUUCGGGACUAUUUACAAGGUGCUGCAUGGUUGUCGUCAGCUCGUGCCGUGAGGUGUCGGGUUAAGUCCCAUAACGAGCGCAACCCUUACCGUUAGUUGCCAUCAGGUAAAGCUGGGGACUCUGGCGGGACUGCCACCGUAAGGUGAGAGGAAGGUGGGGAUGACGUCAAAUCAGCACGGCCCUUAUGUCCAGGGCUACACACGUGUUACAAUGGCCGGUACAAAGGGCAGCUACCCCGCGAGGGGAUGCUAAUCCUAAAAGCCGGUCUCAGUUCGGAUUGGAGUCUGCAAUUCGACUCCAUGAAGUUGGAUUCGCUAGUAAUCGCGCAUCAGCCAUGGCGCGGUGAAUACGUUCCCGGGCCUUGUACACACCGCCCGUCAAACCAUGGGAGCCGGGGGUACCUGAAGUCUGUGAUCCUGAGCAAUCGGGAAGCGGCCUAGGGUAAAACUGGUGACUGGGGUUAAGUCGUAACAAGGUAACCAAGGGCGAA
RNAcentral lists this ribosomal RNA (562 nucleotides) under uncultured bacterium. RNAcentral describes it as "bacterial SSU rRNA". It matches the Rfam family "Bacterial small subunit ribosomal RNA", at positions 947 to 1510 of the family's 1533-position model. The record is from RNAcentral.